RNAcentral lists this ribosomal RNA (1346 nucleotides) under uncultured bacterium. RNAcentral describes it as "partial 16S ribosomal RNA". It matches the Rfam family "Bacterial small subunit ribosomal RNA", at positions 28 to 1381 of the family's 1533-position model. The record is from RNAcentral.
GACGAACGCUGGCGGCGUGCUUAACACAUGCAAGUCGAACGGAAAGGCCCUGCUUUUGUGGGGUGCUCGAGUGGCGAACGGGUGAGUAACACGUGAGUAACCUGCCCUUGACUUUGGGAUAACUUCAGGAAACUGGGGCUAAUACCGGAUAGGAGCUCCUGCUGCAUGGUGGGGGUUGGAAAGUUUCGGCGGUUGGGGAUGGACUCGCGGCCUACCAGCUUGUUGGUGGGGUAGUGGCUUACCAAGGCUUUGACGGGUAGCCGGCCUGAGAGGGUGACCGGCCACAUUGGGACUGAGAUACGGCCCAGACUCCUACGGGAGGCAGCAGUGGGGAAUAUUGCACAAUGGGCGGAAGCCUGAUGCAGCAACGCCGCGUGCGGGAUGACGGCCUUCGGGUUGUAAACCGCUUUCGCCUGUGACGAAGCGUGAGUGACGGUAAUGGGUAAAGAAGCACCGGCUAACUACGUGCCAGCAGCCGCGGUGAUACGUAGGGUGCGAGCGUUGUCCGGAUUUAUUGGGCGUAAAGGGCUCGUAGGUGGUUGAUCGCGUCGGAAGUGUAAUCUUGGGGCUUAACCCUGAGCGUGCUUUCGAUACGGGUUGACUUGAGGAAGGUAGGGGAGAAUGGAAUUCCUGGUGGAGCGGUGGAAUGCGCAGAUAUCAGGAGGAACACCAGUGGCGAAGGCGGUUCUCUGGGCCUUUCCUGACGCUGAGGAGCGAAAGCGUGGGGAGCGAACAGGCUUAGAUACCCUGGUAGUCCACGCUGUAAACGGUGGGUACUAGGUGUGGGGUCCAUUCCACGGGUUCCGUGCCGUAGCUAACGCUUUAAGUACCCCGCCUGGGGAGUACGGCCGCAAGGCUAAAACUCAAAGGAAUUGACGGGGCCCCGCACAAGCGGCGGAGCAUGCGGAUUAAUUCGAUGCAACGCGUAGAACCUUACCUGGGUUUGACAUGGAUCGGGAGUGCUCAGAGAUGGGUGUGCCUCUUUUGGGGUCGGUUCACAGGUGGUGCAUGGCUGUCGUCAGCUCGUGUCGUGAGAUGUUGGGUUAAGUCCCGCAACGAGCGCAACCCUUGUUCACUGUUGCCAGCACGUUAUGGUGGGGACUCAGUGGAGACCGCCGGGGUCAACUCGGAGGAAGGUGGGGAUGACGUCAAGUCAUCAUGCCCCUUAUGUCCAGGGCUUCACGCAUGCUACAAUGGCUGGUACAGAGAGUGGCGAGCCUGUGAGGGUGAGCGAAUCUCGGAAAGCCGGUCUCAGUUCGGAUUGGGGUCUGCAACUCGACCUCAUGAAGUCGGAGUCGCUAGUAAUCGCAGAUCAGCAACGCUGUGGUGAAUACGUUCCCGGGGCU